RNAcentral lists this non-coding RNA (27 nucleotides) under Homo sapiens (human). The record is from RNAcentral. Lineage: Eukaryota; Metazoa; Chordata; Mammalia; Primates; Hominidae.
UGAGAGGGGACAGCUGAGACAUGAGGG